UAACACAUGCAAGUCGAGGGGCAGCACAAGGAGCAAUCUGAGGUGGCGACCGGCGCACGGUGAGUAACACGUAUGCAACCUGCCUGUAAGCGGGGAAUAACCCGUUGAAAGACGGACUAAUACCGCAUAAUACUAAAUUACUGCAUGGUAAUUUAUUUAAACAUUUAUGGCUUACAGAUGGGCAUGCGCAUGAUUAGCUAGUUGGAGAGGUAACGGCUCCCCAAGGCAACGAUCAUUAGGGGUUCUGAGAGGAAGGUCCCCCACACUGGUACUGAGACGCGGACCAGACUCCUACGGGAGGCAGCAGUGAGGAAUAUUGGUCAAUGGACGAGAGUCUGAACCAGCCAAGUCGCGUGCAGGAAGAAUGUUCCCUAUGGAUUGUAAACUGCUUUUGCAGGGGAAUAAAGUGCAUCACGUGUGAUGUUUUGUAUGUACUCUGCGAAUAAGGAUCGGCUAACUCCGUGCCAGCCGCCGC
RNAcentral lists this ribosomal RNA (475 nucleotides) under uncultured bacterium. RNAcentral's name for it is "bacterial SSU rRNA". It matches the Rfam family "Bacterial small subunit ribosomal RNA", at positions 49 to 518 of the family's 1533-position model. The record is from RNAcentral.